AGUGAACGCUGGCGGUAGGCCUAACACAUGCCAGUCGAACGGCAGCACAGUAAGAGCUUGCUCUUACGGGUGGCGAGUGGCGGACGGGUGAGGAAUACAUCGGAAUCUACUUUUUCGUGGGGGAUAACGUAGGGAAACUUACGCUAAUACCGCAUACGACCUACGGGUGAAAGCAGGGGAUCUUCGGACCUUGCGCGAUUGAAUGAGCCGAUGUCGGAUUAGCCAGUUGGCGGGGUAAAGGCCCACCAAGGCGACGAUCCGUAGCUGGUCUGAGAGGAUGAUCAGCCACACUGGAACUGAGACACGGUCCAGACUCCUACGGGAGGCAGCAGUGGGGAAUAUUGGACAAUGGGCGCAAGCCUGAUCCAGCCAUACCGCGUGGGUGAAGAAGGCCUUCGGGUUGUAAAGCCCUUUUGUUGGGAAAGAAAAGCAGCAGGUUAAUACCCCGCUGUUCUGACGGUACCCAAAGAAUAAGCACCGGCUAACUUCGUG
RNAcentral lists this ribosomal RNA (492 nucleotides) under uncultured bacterium. RNAcentral describes it as "partial 16S ribosomal RNA". It matches the Rfam family "Bacterial small subunit ribosomal RNA", at positions 29 to 507 of the family's 1533-position model. The record is from RNAcentral.